GCAGGCCUAUNAUAUGUCAAGUCGNGCGGAAACGAUGGAAGCUUGCUUCCAGGCGUCGAGCGGCGGACGGGUGAGUAAUGCAUAGGAAUCUGCCCGGUAGUGGGGGAUAACUUGGGGAAACCCAAGCUAAUACCGCAUACGCCCUACGGGGGAAAGCAGGGGAUCUUCGGACCUUGCGCUAUCGGAUGAGCCUAUGUCGGAUUAGCUAGUUGGUGAGGUAAUGGCUCACCAAGGCCGCGAUCCGUAGCUGGUCUGAGAGGAUGAUCAGCCACAUCGGGACUGAGACACGGCCCGAACUCCUACGGGAGGCAGCAGUGGGGAAUAUUGGACAAUGGGCGAAAGCCUGAUCCAGCCAUGCCGCGUGUGUGAAGAAGGCCCUCGGGUUGUAAAGCACUUUCAGUGAGGAAGAACGCUUGUGGGUUAAUACCCUGCAAGGAAGACAUCACUCACAGAAGAAGCACCGGCUAACUCCGUGCCAGCAGCCGCGGUAAUACGGAGGGUGCGAGCGUUAAUCGGAAUUACUGGGCGUAAAGCGCGCGUAGGCGGCUUGAUAAGCCGGUUGUGAAAGCCCCGGGCUCAACCUGGGAACGGCAUCCGGAACUGUCAGGCUANAGUGCAGG
This 620-nucleotide ribosomal RNA is filed under the name Halomonas sp. G20.3. RNAcentral describes it as "bacterial SSU rRNA". It matches the Rfam family "Bacterial small subunit ribosomal RNA", at positions 42 to 652 of the family's 1533-position model. Lineage: Bacteria; Pseudomonadati; Pseudomonadota; Gammaproteobacteria; Oceanospirillales; Halomonadaceae. The record is from RNAcentral.